AGUGACCUACGGGGGGCAGCAGUAAGGGAUAUUGGUCAAUGGGGGAAACCCUGAACCAGCAACGCCGCGUGAGGGAAGACGGUUUUCGGAUUGUAAACCUCUGUCCUCUGUGAAGAUGAUGACGGUAGCAGAGGAGGAAGCUCCGGCUAACUACGUGCCAGCAGCCGCGGUAAUACGUAGGGAGCGAGCGUUAUCCGGAUUUACUGGGUGUAAAGGGAGCGUAGACGGCAUUGCAAGUCCGGAGUGAAAGCCCACGGCCCAACCGUGGG
RNAcentral lists this ribosomal RNA (269 nucleotides) under uncultured bacterium. RNAcentral's name for it is "partial 16S ribosomal RNA". It matches the Rfam family "Bacterial small subunit ribosomal RNA", at positions 333 to 619 of the family's 1533-position model. The record is from RNAcentral.